RNAcentral lists this ribosomal RNA (468 nucleotides) under uncultured bacterium. RNAcentral's name for it is "partial 16S ribosomal RNA". It matches the Rfam family "Bacterial small subunit ribosomal RNA", at positions 28 to 507 of the family's 1533-position model. The record is from RNAcentral.
GACGAACGCUGGCGGCGCGCUUAACACAUGCAAGUCGAACGGUAAGGCCCUGCUUUUGUGGGGUGCUCGAGUGGCGAAAGGGUGAGUAACCCGUGAGUAACCUGCCCUUGACUUUGGGAUAACUUCAGGCAGCUGGGGCUAAUACCGGAUAGGAGCUACUGCUGCAUGGUGGGGGUUGGCACGUUUCGGCGGGUGGGGAUGGACGCGCGGCUUAUCAGCUUGUUGGUGGGGAAGGGGCUUACCAAGGCAUUGACGGGUCGCCGGCCUGAGAGGGUGACCGGCCACAUUAGGAUUGAGAUGCGGCCCAGACUCCUACGGGAGGCAACGGUGCGGAAUAUUGCACAACGGGCGGAAGCCUGAUGCAGCAACGCCGCGUGCGGGAUGACGGCCAGCGGGUUGUAAACCGCUGUCGCCUUAGACGAAGCGUGAGUGACGGUAAUAGAUAAAGAAGCACCGGCUAACUACGUG